Molecule: ribosomal RNA, 476 nt
Filed under: Treponema sp. canine oral taxon 201
Lineage: Bacteria; Pseudomonadati; Spirochaetota; Spirochaetia; Treponematales; Treponemataceae
Description: bacterial SSU rRNA
Rfam family: Bacterial small subunit ribosomal RNA
Source: RNAcentral
GAGUUUGAUUCUGGCUCAGAACGAACGCUGGCGGUGCGUUUUAAGCAUGCAAGUCGAACGGUAAAAAGAGAGCUUGCUCUCUUUGAGAGUGGCGGACUGGUGAGUAACGCGUGGAUGAUCUACCUUUGAGAUGGGGAUAGCUUCUAGAAAUAGGAGAUAAUACCGAAUAACCUUGUUGUGUUUUGAUGUAACAAGAAAAGGAGCGUCAGCUCCGCUCGAAGAUGAGUCUGCGUCCCAUUAGCUAGUUGGUAGGGUAAAGGCUUACCAAGGCGACGAUGGGUAUCCGGCCUGAGAGGGUGAACGGACACAUUGGGACUGAGAUACGGCCCAAACUCCUACGGGAGGCAGCAGCUGAGAAUCUUCCGCAAUGGACGAAAGUCUGACGGAGCGACACCGCGUGAACGAUGAAGGCCGGAAGGUUGUAAAGUUCUUUUGCAGACAAAGAAUAAGGAUAGAAGGAAAUGACUAUCUGAUGA